Molecule: ribosomal RNA, 776 nt
Filed under: uncultured Neocallimastigales
Lineage: Eukaryota; Fungi; Neocallimastigomycota; Neocallimastigomycetes; Neocallimastigales
Description: partial large subunit ribosomal RNA
Rfam family: Eukaryotic large subunit ribosomal RNA
Source: RNAcentral
AAGAGAGAGACAUGCGCGCAUAUCAAUAAGCGGAGGAAAAGAAACUAACAAGGAUUCCCCUAGUAACGGCGAGUGAAGCGGGAAGAGCUCAAAUUUGAAAUCUUAAAGGGUUUCCCUUUACGAAUUGUAGUUUAAAGAAGUGUUUUCUGUUGAGGUUUUGGUAAAAGUUCUUUGGAAUAGGACAUCAUAGAGGGUGAGAAUCCCGUAUUUGACCUUUACUUUCAACUUUGUGAUACACUUUCAAAGAGUCGGAUUGUUUGGGAAUGCAGUCCAAAAUGGGUGGUAAAUUUCAUCUAAAGCUAAAUAUUGGCGAGAGACCGAUAGCGAACAAGUACCGUGAGGGAAAGAUGAAAAGAACUUUGAAAAGAGAGUUAAACAGUACGUGAAAUUGUCAAAAGGGGAAGCGUUUGACACCAGUGUUGUUUUUCUGAAAAUCAAUUAAAGAACUGUUUAUGCUAAGUUGUUUAGACUUUAUCAGCUAACUGUUUAGUUUUGAGCUUUUCUUUAAUGCACUUUUCAGUUAACAAGUCAACAUCAAUUUCUUUUGCUGUAAAAAAGCUUGAGGAAGGUGGCUUGAGAUUCGUCUUAAGUGUUUAUAGCCUCUUGCCUAUGCAGUCGGAGAGAUUGAGGUCUGCAGCGUAGAUCCUUCGGGGCUAAAUGCAUUUGUGCUAAGUUAUAGCAUUUUAUAGACAACUUGUUGACUAUGAUUUGUCUUGUAGCUUACUCGCUUAUGUUAUUUUACCUACGCUUAGGAUGUUGAGCGCAUGUCUCUCUCU